UACGUAGGCAGCGAGCGUUGUUCGGAAUUACUGGGCGUAAAGGGCGCGUAGGCGGUUAGAUGGGUGUGAUGUGAAAGCCCUGGGCUUAACCUAGGAAGUGCAUCGCAAACUAUCUAGCUGGAGUAUAAGAGAGGGUGGCGGAAUUUCCGGUGUAGCGGUGAAAUGCGUAGAGAUCGGGAAGGAACGUCGAUGGCGAAGGCAGCCACCUGGCUUAAUACUGACGCUGAGGCGCGAAAAGGCGUGGGGGAGC
Molecule: ribosomal RNA, 250 nt
Filed under: uncultured bacterium
Lineage: Bacteria
Description: partial 16S ribosomal RNA
Rfam family: Bacterial small subunit ribosomal RNA
Source: RNAcentral